CCCAGACCCGCCUGGUCCCGGGCAGGCUCCAGGGAGAAGAGAGCCGAGCAGGCCACGCAGACGCACAGACCCCUCCUUCCACCCGGGAUGUUUGUCUCUGUUUCCACAGGUGUCUUCCAGGAGACAGACUAAAGCGACAUUCAAUCAAACUCAAGUUCGGUGGAGCGCCUCCUCUUUAUGGAAGCCCGAUCUACAGGCUGAGAGAGACGGAAGAGGAGAAAAAAGCAUGGUCUUGUCUUCACUGCAGAAAACACUCUAGAAUGUUAAACACGAGGGGGACAAAGCUCUCCCUUCCCC
This 297-nucleotide long non-coding RNA is filed under the name Equus caballus (horse). RNAcentral describes it as "lncRNA (ENSECAG00000041479.2)". The record is from RNAcentral. Lineage: Eukaryota; Metazoa; Chordata; Mammalia; Perissodactyla; Equidae.